GGCUAGACUGGAGGGUUAGGGGUCCUCUGUAAGCACACAUCCCCUUUGGUGCAGUUGAAAUCCAAAAGGCGGCUUUUUGAUAUGAGAAUGGCCUUAAAAAUUGAUAUAGAAACUUCGUCCUGCAGGAUUAAUGGUGGUAUGAUUUUUACUGGAGGGUAAAGGUUAAUUAUCUUUAUUACAGGAACGUGUCAGGCCCGGAAGGGAGCAGCUCUACUGUUUACAAUUAAUGCUUGUAGAGUCGCGGAGUGGAGUUAAUUUUUGAGAUAACCUUUUUUAUUGAUUUUUGUCCAC
Molecule: signal recognition particle RNA, 291 nt
Filed under: uncultured Methanobrevibacter sp.
Lineage: Archaea; Methanobacteriati; Methanobacteriota; Methanobacteria; Methanobacteriales; Methanobacteriaceae
Description: Archaeal signal recognition particle RNA
Rfam family: Archaeal signal recognition particle RNA
Source: RNAcentral